Molecule: ribosomal RNA, 231 nt
Filed under: uncultured bacterium
Lineage: Bacteria
Description: partial 16S ribosomal RNA
Rfam family: Bacterial small subunit ribosomal RNA
Source: RNAcentral
CGGACGGGUGAGUAAUGUCUGGGAAACUGCCCGAUGGAGGGGGAUAACUACUGGAAACGGUAGCUAAUACCGCAUAACGUCGCAAGACCAAAGAGGGGGACCUUCGGGCCUCUUGCCAUCGGAUGUGCCCAGAUGGGAUUAGCUAGUAGGUGGGGUAACGGCUCACCUAGGCGACGAUCCCUAGCUGGUCUGAGAGGAUGACCAGCCACACUGGACUGAGACACGGUCCAG